This 374-nucleotide ribosomal RNA is filed under the name uncultured prokaryote. RNAcentral's name for it is "bacterial SSU rRNA". It matches the Rfam family "Bacterial small subunit ribosomal RNA", at positions 524 to 896 of the family's 1533-position model. The record is from RNAcentral.
UACAGAGACUGCAAGCGUUAUUCGGAUUCACUGGGCGUAAAGGGUGCGCAGGUGGCCAAGUGUGUUAGGCGUGAAAGCCCGGGGCUUAACCCCGGAAUUGCACCUAAAACUACAUGGCUAGAGCAUUGGAGAGGGGAGCAGAAUUCACGGUGUAGCAGUGAAAUGCGUAGAUAUCGUGAGGAAUACCAGAGGCGAAGGCGGCUCCCUGGACAAUUGCUGACACUCAGGCACGAAAGCGUGGGGAGCAAAAGGGAUUAGAUACCCCUGUAGUCCACGCCCUAAACGGUGCACACUAGGUCUUGGCGGAUUCGACCCCACCAGGGCCCAAGCUAACGCGUUAAGUGUGCCGCCUGAGGACUACGGCCACAAGGCUA